GACAGUUUUUGAACAAGACGUAUUUUACUAAAGGACUCGUGGAUUGCGGGGUCUCACGACAUCACCUCAUAGAUGCAGUCGAUGGUUUGCUCCAGAUUCAGGUUUGUUUCCAGGAAGAAACCCUAACAGAAAUUCAGAAGCAUGGGAGCUGCAUUCAAUUAGGACGUGGAUCCAUGAAAUGCUCGUCUCAGGACCUUCUAGAAGAAUGAGCUGGGACCCACGUUCCGAGUCCUGCUGGAACCAGAGACCGAGUCUAUGCAAGUCAGAAUCAACCUCCAUCCGCCUCCAUCCUUUAUGAGACCUAAGACGUGAUGCAGCUCCAAUGGGAAAUAUCAGUUGUGUCUCUACCAAGGAUGCAGAAAAAGACAAGCUCCUGUGGGCGUUCUGCUUCUGUCUGUCAUACCAACACACCUGUCACUUCUGUAGGUCCCUAUGGAUGCAAGAGGACCUCCUUCUUUCCCAGGUCCACCCUGCACAGAUACAAUUUAUCACUGUUCAUGGGCUCUAUGGGCUGCCUCCAGCUCCUUGAUGGUGGGACAGGACCCA
This 546-nucleotide long non-coding RNA is filed under the name Felis catus (domestic cat). RNAcentral describes it as "lncRNA (ENSFCAG00000053736.1)". Lineage: Eukaryota; Metazoa; Chordata; Mammalia; Carnivora; Felidae. The record is from RNAcentral.